CAUGUGGUUUAAUUCGAUGCAACGCGAAGAACCUUACCUACUCUUGACAUCCAGAGAAUCUAGCGGAGACGCUGGAGUGCCUUCGGGAGCUCUGAGACAGGUUCUGCAUGGCUGUCGUCAGCUCGUGUUGUGAAAUGUUGGGUUAAGUCCCGCAACGAGCGCAACCCUUAUCCUUGUUUGCCAGCACGUAAUGGUGGGAACUCCA
Molecule: ribosomal RNA, 205 nt
Filed under: Vibrio cholerae
Lineage: Bacteria; Pseudomonadati; Pseudomonadota; Gammaproteobacteria; Vibrionales; Vibrionaceae
Description: partial 16S ribosomal RNA
Rfam family: Bacterial small subunit ribosomal RNA
Source: RNAcentral